AAUUAAUUUCCGGUCCUGUUUAAUUUCGAAACGGGAAAAAACCAAAUUAUAUAAGGCAGCGAUAUAUUCGUUAAUUAUAAUGGGUUAAAUUUGUUAUUUUAACGCGUUAACGCGUUAUCGCUCCCGCUGUCGUUCUUUCUCCGCUUUUUCCGCACGUUAUUGCUCUUUUUCUGCGCGUUACUCUGCCUUUCGCAAUUGCCUUCUCAGUUUUUCCACAUUUGUCGAUCCAUUUAUAACGCGUAAGGGCAUAGGUUAUAUUGCGGGUUAAUUAGGAUAUAAUUGUCGCAAUCCGAAUAUUUUGAAUUGCGGCGUUAUUUGAGUGGAGCCGUAUUACGUACGCAUAUUGCGAGGGGCAACCUGUCCGAAACACCCAAAUUAACGAAUCGACCGAUGUACGGACGUAUUCAAAUAUAAAAUUAACCAGGGCCUUGGGCCAGGUAAAUGGAUUAUAUUUGAGCCCAUAUUUAUUAGCGAUUUUUGGCGGCCAUAAAAUUUCGGUUUUCCAUAUUUAUAUAUACAUUUGCAGGGACCAAUUAUGCGGUCGUAAUAUUUAAUGGAAAAUUUCCUGCGGCGGUUUUUGCAUCAAAUGGCAUUUAUAGGCGGUUUGGACGGUGUUUAGCCUAUGUAGGCGAUUGGCGAUUCAGGGUUUCAAAUAACGGCCGAACCACUAAUUUAAUCGCAUACAAUUGGCUGACCAAACUCUUAAUCCCGCGUACGGUCCUCUACCACCUAGCGCCAAACAAUAAUAGCUUUCUGGCUGCCCAAUUUAAUAUAUUUUACGCGUUGAAACAGCAAAUACCAUAUAAUAUUAUAUUAAUUAACCUCGUUGGUACGCUUUAGCUAUAACAGUAUAUUGGACCACUAUAGUUAUAAAUAUAAUAUUUCCUAGGUGCGUUGAAAAUGGCGUAAAUUAAAGCAAAAAUUAUAUGCUGGCAAUUUACCGCGGUAUUACGGUUUUGGAAAGUUGGAGUGGUAUUGCAGUCCUGAACGUAUUUAAAUGCGCAUAAACGACGGCGCGUGCUAAAAUAAGUUUACACCAUUUUUGCCCAGUGCAGGGAUUUUUUUAUACGCCCCGUUUAUAAAAUUCCACACCCGCACCGUACAAAAAUAUAAAAUGUAACCUAUAAUUACAGGGCCACCCUCCGUUUACGGAGUAUGGUUCCGAUAGGUUUACCCAGUUCGACCACAAUAAUUGUUUCCAUAUCCGGUGCUUUUUUAACCGCCAUGGACUAUUAGCCCUACCUUUCCGAAAAACCGUUUGCAUUGUUACCGAAGGUGCUUAGGUAAUUUAAUAUGGAUUUCCUAAUUUUGCAUUCCAAAAUGGCCGGCGUCUAAUAAAAAAUAAAUAAAACAGGAGUAUGGGACGAAAAUAACGAUGGGCGUCCAGGAGCUUUUGGACGAGUUUAAUUCCUAAUAAAUUCCAAACAAGGUUUGUUUUGGCGCAUCCAAAUUUUUAAUCUGUUAAUUUGCCUGUUAAAAGUCCAACAGCACGGCGAAUAAUUAAAUUUUGCGAAAAAAACCUUCACUUUUAUAUAUUGUUUUUUCAGUAAGGCUGCAGCGCCUUAACGAGGGAGUGUAUAUUUUGGCCCGCUUGCUGCCGACCCAACAGUACCAGCGGCAGCAAUAGGUGCAUAUGGCAGGUUCAAAUUCCAAUUCUGUUUUUUACCCGCAUUUUGGGGUAAAUAUUCCUAUUGGCCUUCACCUCCCAUAGAAAGAUGUACAUUAGAACGCAUCGAUCCCCAUUAUUACAUUGGCGGUGUUUUUUUUAAAUAAGGAUUAAACUAAACCCUAACAGGUAGGAAUCUUUGCAGCUCGAGCCACAAAAAACCAAUAUUGAAAAGCAAGGGGUUCGAGUAUUUUGCUCCCGUUUACCUGUAGUUGGUUGCCUGUGGGCUUUUCGGAAUGUUACGUUGGUCGUCCGGGCCGGAUGCGUUGUUCCGUGCAGCAAAUUAAAAAGCGGUAAAGAUUAGCAGAAUGGGGGAGGGUAAAUACGGACCAGGCCAUUUUUAAAUCCUUUAUUGCGAGGAUUGGCGAUUAGUAAUAUGGUGGGGUUUUUUAUCCUUAUAGUUUGUUGGUUCGUUUUAUAGUUGUUCGAUAAUAAAUUAGGCAAUUAGGGUGGGUGGGUAUUUAUUAGAUUCGCUGCCUCGAUUAACGCCUCCACCUUAAAUGGCAGGUAGCUUUGUCGACUUACAUUAUCCCAGCAAAAAACGGGCCCCUCCUUUCCACAAUUCCUAAACACGGAUUAUAACGGAUGUGGCAUCUUUUUAUUUUACGCUGAUUGUCUAUUUUGUUUAUCCCUACCCGUAAUUGCCACCAUUUGUUUUUUCCAUUUCGUACAUAUACCACCAUGGAGCAGCACAUUAGCCCUUUCGACACUUUUGGUUUGGAAUAUGGAAUUUACUUAAAAGACCAGAUCCAAAGCGCCUUCCGAAUAGUAUCUUCGAUAAUUUAUGGAGAUUCUCGUAGCGAAAGCACGUCCAAUAAACCAAAAUGGCUCACUUUCGAACAAAUGACCAGCGCCAAAAACUUACUGCUUAAUUUAUCGCAAAUAGGAUCGCAAUUUACGGAAAAUGCAAAGAAAUUCAGCAUUUUCCCCCGGACAGUUUUUGUGGAAAGAAAAGAUAGAACGAACGAAAUCACAUUUAUAUCCCCCUCAAAAUUACAAAUCCACAAAUCAUUAGUUUUUUGCGAUAAAUAUUAGGCUAUUGUGCAUAAAAAAAACCUGCGACGACAUCGGCAAACCUAUAACAAUUACUGUUGCACAUAUUGCGAGGCCGAAUUUUUUCGAUAAGAAUAUUUGAGCCAUCUUACUGUUAAUAACUUUGACAAAUGCCAAAUUUACUGCAAAACUGUUACGAAAAAGGCGUAUACCAAAUACCUGGAACGGAUAUAUGGAUGGGCAAAAUGCCCCUUUUGUUUAACAUUCUACCCUAGUUUGGACCGGAUGCAAAAACAUUUGGGCGCGACAUAUCUAAUAAGACGUUGCAGUUUUUGCCCCGAAAAUAAUAUAUACGAACUGUCAAUCUAUGUUUUUGUGGGUUAUUAAUGUGUGACCUGCCUUUGCGGGGCCGAGAUUUGCAACGAAUCGCUAUUGGGUUAUUUAAAACGGCAACAUUGGUUUUCGGCCUGCUUUAGCGGCGAAAUUUGUAUUAUAAGCGGUUACGACGAUCACGAUUCUAUUUUGGCUUAUAUUAACAAAUCGCACCUCCCAGACCAAUGCCCGGUUUGCGAAUAUUUUGUUUUUGGGACCGGAACGUUUUGGAAUUAUUUAUCCCAAAGAUAUUAUUUCCGGUUUUGCGAAAAAUGCAAUAUUUCGGAUUAUUAUUAAACGGCAAUAGGAAUUUAAUCCAACCAGCGACAAUUACAUUUGGACGAAAACCAUAUAUGGAAAGAAUGUCGCAAUUGUCGAACUGGUAUUUAAAUAAAUCAGAUGCCAGAACAUUUCCAAAAUUCCCAUAAUUAUAUAAUAUGCGAUGUUUGCGCCGACGUAUGGCCCCCCAAUGAAUUAAAGGGAUAUAAAAUGCGACAGCACCGUCGCUGCGAAAUUUGCGACGUAUAUAUUUUAAACGAAAAUUACCUCCAGCAUUUAGCCACGCACGGAAAAAAACCUUGCCCGCUAUGCGACGAAAUCCUUUUCCUAGAUAAAUUUCCCCUUUAUUUUUCGAUUAAGUAUAACGAAACGAAUAUUUGCCCUAUAUCCGAUUGCAAAAUAUAUUAUUUUAAGUCAGGCCUGCAAGUUCAUGUUUGCCAGACCCACGGGUGGGGAAAAUGCCGUUUUUGUAAUAUAAUAACUGCUCCUGGGCAGCCAUUGCGAAACCAUAAACUUAAAUACAGCCCCAAGAUUUGCCAGAUUUGUAACGAGCAAAUUCCUGCAGACGAUUUUCGACAAUAUUAAAAGGCCGAAUAUCAGAUCCAGGAAUGCCCCUUUUGCGAAAAGUCAGGGAAUAACCUCCUCCAUUAUAUUCAUAAUUAUUACCCUUUAGCCGAAACAAGCGCGAAAAAUGCAAACCAAAAUAAUACGGCAUUUGAUUUCCGCAAAAGGGCUUAUAAAGCCGAUAUUGGGCUGGUUAUACCGAAUCCUGCCUCUCAACCAACGCAAAACAAAUUUUGGAAUAUUUACAAUUUACUAAACAAUGUGCGAAAAUCUUCAAAACAAAAUUUGUUAGCGCCCUUUUAUCCAGCGAUUAUUUUAUCUGCAACUAAUAUUAUAGGGUCGAUUGGAAAUAUAUUGGAAAUUUAAAAUCGACAAGGCGUACGUAACGCCAGGGCCACAACACCCAUCCGUAAUCAGGUGAAUAUCUUAUCGGAAAAGGAAGAUAUGAACGUAUUAUUUCGACAAAUAGGAUUAUUUGAGGGAGUUCACUUUAAUCGGCGGUUUAAACAAUUAUAUAUAUUACCAGGAUAUGUAACGAAACGCAACUUUGCCGAAAGUCAUACCACACCCGCUAACAAACGUCGCAAAAAAAUUAAUAUAAAGCAACUGGCUACCCACAUUGGAAAUGAAAAAACCAAAUUUGGAUUUCGUACUUUUAUUUAAUUAUGUUUUACCAAUAUAAAAACGGCCACGCCCGUAUUCCCCGCUACACCGGACCCUGCAUCGGACCUUUUGCAACUGGCCUUAAAAUUUAGCGAAAAAGCGGCAAACUAUAAAAAGGCGAUUGGUAUAUAUUGGCUGUAUUAAUAUAUCAACCUAUUGGAGUUGGCCAAGGUUUUCCAUAAUUCCAAACAUGGACGCAUUCGAGUUAGCUCAGAUAAAUACAAUGGGAUUUUGAGGUUGCAAAACAAGGAAAACAACAAAAGAAACAAAAAUAAAUUUGCAAACCAAAUCAGGUUUGGGCGCAAAAUCUGGAAGAUUUGCGCAAUGGACAUCGGUAAAAAGUAUUUAGGGGCAUUUCCGUUUUUUGUUAUCGCAAUAAAAACAGAAGAUAUUUUCAAGGUCACCGACGAUAUAUUGCCAUCUCUAAAUAUCUUGUUUUCCCGUUAUAUCCAUUUAUGGACGAACGGAAAGAUGUUGGUCGACUACAUUAGGCGGGGCUGUUGUCCCGAGGGUCGAAAGGCGAUUGAGGAUAUUCUUUUGUAAAUUCGUUCUGUUUUUCUCUAUUUUUUGUUUUAGGUUAAAUAUGUCCAAAAGAAAACCUCGCAUUGUAGCCUUCCAGAUUUGGCAUGUGGAUAUUGACCUUUCGGGGUGCGUUUUGUAACGGGCUAGUUCCUAUUAACCUUCCCUUUUGAAAAGAUAGCUAGGGGCAGCAUUCCAAUACCCAAUUGUGAUAUAUUUGUAUCGAUCUGCACCCUACAGGGCUACUAGUCUUAGCUGCUUCACAGAUAUGGGGCUGUAUUUGGCCUGGUUUUGAUUCAUUGUUGCAAAAUUAAAUAAGGAGUGAAGCGUAAAAGGGUGGCCUGGUCCUAAAACAUCCUGCCUCUUUCUUAAUGUUUCAAGUUCUAAAUCUUCUGCUUUUUCCCAAUCACCAUUCUACCAAUCAGGUUUGCAGAUUCCGCAAGGAUUCUGGAAAGAUUGGCUAUGCGGGUAAAUAAUCGUCUUUAACCACCUUUUGCAUUGUUGUUCGUCCAAGCCUCCAAUGCUCCCAUGCGCCAUUAUCGAUAUGUUUGGAAAGCUCCUCAUCUGCAAAAACUACCCGACCAAAACCAGGCGCUGGAUCCAGCACUGGGGAUUUGCAAAAUCGGCAGGUAUUGGUUUAGAAGAUAAGGUGCGGCUUCCAUAUAUUUCAGCUACGUAUUAAACAACAGUGGUAAUAUUAGGAGAAGGCGUAAUUAAAUAACUGUUUUAUUAAGGGAGGUUGCUAAUAAUAUUAGCUCCAAUGUAGGUUAUUCGGAAGAACCUUAGGGCCUCGGAGCUCCAAAUUACCCGGGCAGGUAAUAUUUUCCUGAGUCGCGAAGGAGUUAGCCUGAAGGGGGCAGAAGAGGAUUGGAAAAGAACUGGGGCGCAACACGGGAAGGCCUUUUGAAACGCCCGAUUACGUCCAGACUUAUAAUACCUGUACAUACUUGGAAACGGUUAGGGCAGGGAAUUUUGUAAGAUGCAGACCCAUUUAAAAAUACCCCAGUUAAAUGCCGGAAUGCUACGCCGAAAUUAUCCUAAAAGCUCCGUAGAGGUAAAGGCCAAUCGGAACGAGCCCGUCACAAAACGCACCCCUGACGGCCAGCAUUAAUUUCACCACCGAUUUUUCGUCAUACCUGCUUAAACCUCCCUGCUCAAAACCAAAUGGCUCAAAUGUUUCGCAAAUAAUGGCCUAUUGGGGGUAGGAGAUUACGGCGGCGAGCCCUGGUCCUUAAAAAUAUCCCUGCAAUUUGUAAAUAAGGUGCCCAAAUAUUGCAACUCCCUUUGUUAUUAAUAACUCCCUACUUUAAAUCCUUGUAACAGGUAUAAUUUAUUACGGAGGCCUCCUAAUGGGUGCAUUUGCGGUCACAGGCGGAUUUUUUCGCAUAUUGGUAUGGUCGUAUUGCUGAAGCUAGCGGGAUAGUUGUGCCUAUUUGGGGAUGUUCGCUUACCUCUGCCCACUAACCCGGCUUUAUAUCAAAAAAAUUUCGGAACGCGGGUAAUUGAGCAUAUAUUGGUCAAUCAAAUGAUCAACGCCGAAAGGAUGGAGGCAAGGAACGCCUUGGGGCUCGUUGCAAUUUCGUUGUCGCUUAUUUUAAUCCAAUAAUCUUUUGGGGUUUUGCAUUUUUUCGCACAUUGCUUUUUACACCUUUUUCGGUAGUUGGUAAUAUUUCAAAUAUUAGGCAAAACUUAAACGCCGAUACGUAUUUAAUAAUUAAUAGAUUGUUUAGGGAACAAUUAGAAAUAUAAAUUUGUUUUGGUUUAUUUGGUAAUAGGCACGACGGGCAAUUUUCUCGAGUUUGUUUUGAGCAUUGCCAGGUUUGAAAUUCAUCAAAUGUCGUUAGUAUUUUCUGCUCGUUAUUUUUUGUUUUGGCCACCAAAAUUACCUUAUCUACUUUGGCAGAUCAAAUUAGCCAAUCACCGUUUUGAAUGGACAGAAUAUUAUCCUAAUAGCAAAUCCUCCAAGCCUUAUCUGGAAACCUUUUUUAGAACGAUAAUAACGAAAAUGGACCCAUUAAACCAUAUAUUACGCCUCGAAAAGGCCAAAUAAAUGUAUAAGAACCACGUUGCAGGUCGACGAGCUUCUAUUAACUGGAUUGCAUCCGAAAUCCCCGCCGGUAUAUUAUGGGUAAUUAAGGCGAAAAUCGAACGACAUACGCAAUGGCCUGCUCGCCUUUUCGCGGCCGGCUUUCCUCCCAAUAAACUUUAUAUAAGGUAUGCAUUACGGGCGAGUGAUUGGGGCGUCUAACUAAUAGCGAUUUGAAAUAUAUAAUAUAACGUUGCAAUUAAGAGAAAAACUCCUUAAAUGUUUUAGAGUGUACGAACUAGAAUACAGAAACUGACUUUGAAAAUUCGCGCUAAAGCAGGAUUAGAAUAGGCCAUGAUAAUAGGUGCAAGGCACAAAAUAGGCUGUAAUUAAAUCGUUUCAUCGUCAAAAGCUGUCCCAAACCAAAAACCCCUAAUUUUAUUUGCAAUACCCUUAAUUCCCUCCAACUCCUUUUUGUUAAGGACAAUUCCAAAAUAUAACCGAAUAGCCUUAAUACGUUCCGCUUCGGUGCGGAACUUAAGGCUCAGUUUCAAAUUCCCUUCCCUCCGCCAUUUUAACCUAUUUUAAUAUAGCAUAAUAAAGCCGUCCAGUUCGCCAUCCAUAAUAUCUUUCAUAUUUGUUUUCCCAGGUGCAAUUAGGGGUUUAUUUAAUAUUAUAAAUCGCUAAAACAAUAAUUUACGUAAUGCGAAACAUGUGCGGUUUAUACCAUGCGUAUUUAGGAUUUCGAUAUCCUCGGGCAGCAAUUUAAAAUCCGAGUUGAAACAGCAUAUUGGCUGCCAUUCCUUACCAGGGCCACGUCGGAACUAAUAUACCCAUAGCCGCCUAAUUUGAUCGACCUGCUGUGCAAUCGCCUGUUUCACUAUUCGCAUUUCCGCUUAAAGUUCUAUAUAUUGAAAACCGUUCGGUUUAAUACCUCCCGUUCCCUCGAACAAUGGUACAGGUUUGGGUGGACCGUAUCCACCAAAACCCACAUCGAGCAAAUAAUAUACGCCAUCGAUCUUGACAAUAUUAAUAUAAUGCACAAGUCCGCCGAAUCUGCCGUUGCAGGGCUUAAAAACUCGCGAACCUGCCAAAAUAACGUCGAAUCCCAGCGAUAGGAGAACCGUAUUAAGCAAUUGGUUCGUUUCAAAGCACCAACCACCGCGGCGGUGGCGGACAAUCUUUUUAUAAAAACGCGUCGGCGAAACACCGAACCCUUUAUACCAAAAGUAAUAAACCUGAAAAUUCUUAUAAAAUACGCUGAUAAAAUGGUGCUUUUUAAAAAGGGUAAGGUAGGCUAACUAUUAAAUAGAUGUAAAUUUGCUGACGGAAAAGAUUCGCUGUAUAGGAGAAAAGUGAACUCGAUUGAAAUAUUUAGUUAUUUCCAAGUUGGCGUAUUUUGGCCGUUUGCAUUGCUAAAUUUGAAUUGUGCUGAUAAAGCGAGCCGAUAAUAAUUGGCGCGACAGGCCUCGGAAACAGAUUGACGUUUUAGGGAUGAUUAUUAUUGUAGCUUAUUUGCUACAGAGGGAUUUAAUGUAAAGAUUUUUUUUUCAUUCUAAAGUCUUCGGAAAAACUGAAGUUGGUGCAAUUAGUUGAAAUAUGUGACUGCGGAAUCAGUAGCCUUUAUAUUAUCUCGACUGUUUGCGUUAAAACAUUCUUUAUAGGCAGAAAGGUUCAAGACAUUUAGACCGCCAUGCGCUCCGUAAAGCAGAUGAAAGAAUUUGAUAAUCCUCUAGACCCUUAACAUAUUGCGCGGAACGUGUACGCGUUUAACACCAUAUGGGAUUUACAGCCCCAGGAUUUUACCGUUAGCGGAAUGCUGGGGCGUCACAUUGCAACCUUUCCAUAUGCUACGCAUGUUAACGAUUAAAUGCAAAUUUCUGCUUAUGUGUAACUAGAAUAGGGACAAGAUGUUGGUGAUAUAAUGUAAAUAGCUGCAGCGAAUAAUAUUAUAAAAUUAUAACCCUGGACGUCUUUUUGUUUCCGUCAUAAGGUUAAACUGGUGCUAUCUUAAUACCGGCGAUAAGUAUUCGGCCCAGAGCCUCGGGGUUGGCGUAAAAUUGGUGACGCAGUACAAAUUUUAUACGGUGACGCCGAAGCAGUUACCGUGUUGGGCAGGAAAAAAAAUAUUGGUAACAUGAUUCGAAAAAUUGGAAUUGUGGCUAAUAUCCGUUUAAAUAUUAUUUCGCCGCAGGGGGAUUAAACGUUGCAAAAUUGGUAAUAAGGACCGAAAGGUUUGGACCAACAAAAAGAUAUUGCGAUUUUCGCGUUCCCACCUUUCUUCGACGUAACGGGGAUUGUUGCAAAAAGAUAAUGGGGCCAAAAUAUUAGACGUUAUACCUAGACCGUUUGCGAAAAAGGAAAGGACAAAAUGUGGGACGUACAUUUUUUAUUCAAAAAUCGGCUAUUUGUUCCACACUGGGUCGGCCACCGAUGUUAUUAUUCGAUUUUGCAACCGCGGAUGUGGUUUAUUUAAAAACUAAUAGGUUCGCCCAUUGGUUAGAAAUUGUGUAAAAUGCACUUUGCAUUCCUGUAAAAAUGCCGCGUGGGUUAUUUUCGCAUAUUACCAAUAUUAACCAAAAAUAACAAAGUUAUUGUUACAAAGAUUUCCAAAGACCAAAUUUGGACCUUUUUCGCGGAACUUAACUAGGCGUGGACGAAUAGGUACAGGAACACCCCUUGGCAGAUUCAGCCUAUCGAAUAUGCCUGAGGCAAUAUAUUGUACGCGUAGGACGGAAAAACUCCUUUCCCUUCCCUUCCCUCCCCUGUAUUUACCUGUAUUUACUAUAACGGUCAAAAUUAUCGCCUAUUUCUCUUUUUAUUCCCAACUCCUGCCUUAUUAAUAUUGCCAAUACCUAAAUAUUUCCUGGGACCCAACCCAAAAACCAUUUAAUAGGGUAAAUUGUAUAUAUAAUAAUUUGUAAUAUUAUGGCUUUUCUAUCUUUGGUUUACAUUGUUUUGUCGUGCUGGUACUGCACAGGCAAUUUAAACAACAUCGUCUGGCAAUUGAAUUCCCGUUUAUCGUAUUAAAAUAAUGGAAUUUACUGGAUGUUUUGUUAAAAAUGUCGAAUGUAGGUCUGGGAUAUUGCCUAAUCGUUUGCAGGUUUAUUAUUAAUAUGUUUUAAAAGUACAACAGUUAAAUAUUUUAGCACUAAGAAGUUUGCUGAAUUUUAAUUGUGGUACUUUUGGGUAUUUCCGGAAAGGAAAAAGAGUCUUGUCUCGAAAAUCAUCCGGAGGUGGGGUUUAUAAUGGGAAGCAAAUAUUCCACAAUAGGUAUAAGCCUCGACCCCAGCACAAUUUGCGGCCAGGUAAACCAAACGGCUAAUUAUUAGGUUAAAUUGGAAACCCUAAAACGAGUGGUUAGCCUUUCGAUAAAAUAAGCAAGGUGUUAUAUUAAUAUAACAGACCUGCAUACGGAAUUACCAUCCGAUUUUCCGUGAAAUUUAAACGUUUGCGAAUUUAUAACAGCACAUUUUACACCCCGCGGGCUUUUUCAGCAUUUGUAUACUUAAAAUAACAAAUAACUUUACGUAAAUUAGGAAGCGAAAUGGUUGGCGAUAACCCUCCGUAUACCUAAUUUGUAUUUAACCACAAAUUUUCGAGGAUGGGUACCCAAUUCUUAUACGCAGUAACCCAAGCCAAUGCAAUGAAAUCCUGUAAGCUAAAUACGGCUGCCAUACAUUAGCACAGUAAUUAGGCAUACCCUCACGGAAAACCAGAUGGUAGCUCCGUACGAAGGACAAAGGAGCCUAUCACAGAUUUGGCGGGGGCCUUGUGCAGGUAACCCCGCUAUUCGGCAUCCUGAACGCACAUAACGUAAAUAUGUUUAUAUUCCCAAUGUAUAAAGGCCUUAUAAAACCGUUCGCACAACCUGAUGGUAAUUAAACUGUUACAUAUAAACGCCACUGCACAAACAAUUGAAAUUUAAAAAGAAUAGCGAAAUUCAGCAUAUUCCCUAUAAUAUAUGGUUUAUUGAGAGGAGUGCAGCAAAUUACAAAUCCGUUACAAUUAGGCCUUAAUUUAUAUUAUAAAUUAUAUAGCCUAACAAACGAAAUAUAUACCAAAACUAAUUGGAAAGGGAAAAUUUUGGGACUUUUUAAAAUAGAUAUUUUAAAUUUAGUUAGGGAAGGAAGGGUUUAGAUCCAGCAACAGGUUAAUUAUUUUUUGUUAAAUUUAAAUCGGUGUGGAUUCGAAAAUUCACCCUGCUUAACCAGGAUAUUUAAUUUUACCUUGUUUUCCCAUUUGUUGUGGUAUUGCAAAUAAUUAUCAGGGAGGAACUUUGUUAUGGGAUCAGUUAAACCACAAUUGCGCUUGCGGUCUAGUUUUAACAAUCCUAACCACCUUUCCAUGCCCAUUGGGUAAAAACCUGCAAACUCCCAAUUAAUUAACGCUAUUGGUUGCAAAGACUGCGGAUCCAUAAAAAUAUUAUGGGCCGCCAGAUCGCCGUGCUGGAAUAUAUACGCGUUUGUCUGGAUAGGGACAAAUUCCCACGUCGUUUUGCCCUUCCAGGGCGGUUAAAUAUCCGGGUUUAGCCAGGAAGGAGGUAUAACGAACCCGUUAAUACCACGAGCUUGAGAUUUUAAAUUGUUUAAUUGGGGCAGGACGGUGUCCUUAAUAAAGUUGGUAGCAUUCGAAUAGGCCUCCUCUGGGCAUUUUGCACAAGGUAAUUCCUCGGCAAUAUACCGCUGCUUUCCAAAUUUUGAGCAGUUUCGGAGUGGAAACUUGUCCAGGAGCACACUUUUAAUUAACUUAGUAAUAAGGUAUCGCCGACCAUCCGGAAGGGAGCCGUGGCAAAGGAACUUUGGUACAGGAAUUUGCGUCUUUUCAAAUAUUAUACGUAAGGCCUUAGUUUCGUUGGUAAUACGUUCGUGGUUCCUGGACGAAAUAUAUAUAUUAUUAUCUUAUAUUUGAAAAGAAAAGAAACAAAAUUCGUUGUAAUAAUUGUAAUUCCAGGGUAAAGGUUGACUUACAAUUACCGGAACCAAAGGAAGGGCGUACCGUCAAAUCGAUAAUCGGGGAUUGGAAACCGCGAGGUUUUCCACAUAAUUAAUUUCUCCCAAUAUAUGCUUAUUAUUAACCGUGUAAAGUUUUCCAAUAGGGUUAUUUAUUUGGCUAUAUGUAAAUAAUAAUUUAUUUACAGUCGUUUUAUUUAUGUCAGACUUUCUCCAAAAUUGUUUUAAAGACCCGUUAUACCUUUUCCCCCGGCCUCCCCGAAAUAAUUGAAAAUGUUAAAACAAGGCCUAAUCCCUAGCAGGUUCGCAAAUUCGAUGUGCUUCGGAAAUAUAACAGUUAAAAAUUUAGCAUUAAGGAGUUUGCUAAAUUUCGAUU
RNAcentral lists this small RNA (12410 nucleotides) under Pyricularia oryzae. RNAcentral describes it as "Magnaporthe oryzae sRNA M_BR32_EuGene_00142691". The record is from RNAcentral. Lineage: Eukaryota; Fungi; Ascomycota; Sordariomycetes; Magnaporthales; Pyriculariaceae.